CAAUCCGUGUCGGCUGCUCUGCAUGAAGCCCAUAAAAUACAACUGUUCAAGUCAUAAGCUAUGUGGGUAUUGGUGUCGGUGACUGGCUCUGGUCCUCUCUCUCCUUCUGGCUUGAGGCUCUCUCUCCCCCUGAGCCCUGUCAGCACCAUUUGUGUGGAGCGGGGCGCUGAUUAGCGGACGGGCCACAGCCGGCUCAUCAGUUGUGCAGCGAGUGGGAAACAUUCCCAUAACCACCUACAACCGGGCCAUGAGGCAGCACGGCCUUCUGUCCCUGGUGCUGGGAGGACUGGGAAGCCUCUGAAUCUCUGGGGAUGCCACGAUAUGGAUUCCUAUCCUACCCCGUUACUUAACACCUGGACACAUCUGUCAGCAGUAGGCCCACACAUCUGCCUUGUGAGACUACAAGAACUCAACCAUGUGCAAAGCUGCAGCACUCCUAGUGAUUGUCGAGGAUGGAGAGAGGGUCAUUUCCCGGUCACUCGUUCAGGCUGCGUGAUGAAUGAAGAAAAGACAGAGAAAGAGAGGCCAGGGGAGAGGACGAGGCUGGAGGCUUUCAAUAGGAACAUUUA
Osmerus eperlanus (European smelt) is the source of this 569-nucleotide long non-coding RNA. RefSeq lists it as uncharacterized. Lineage: Eukaryota; Metazoa; Chordata; Actinopteri; Osmeriformes; Osmeridae. The transcript is spliced from 3 exons. The record is from RefSeq and is a predicted model, not a curated record.